CCUACGGGUGGCAGCAGUGAGGAAUAUUGGUCAAUGGCCGAGAGGCUGAACCAGCCAAGUCGCGUGAAGGAAGAAUGACCUAUGGUUUGUAAACCUCUUUUGUCAGGGAACAAAGUUACCCACGUGUGGGUGUUUGAGUGUACCUUAAGAAAAAGCAUCGGCUAACUCCGUGCCAGCAGCCGCGGUAAUACGGAGGAUGCGAGCGUUAUCCGGAUUUAUUGGGUUUAAAGGGUGCGUAGGCUGUGUUUUAAGUCCGCGGUUAAAGUGUGGGGCUCAACCACAACAGAGCCGUUGAAACUGGUGAUCUUGAGUGGGCGAGAGGUAUGCGGAAUGCGUGGUGUAGCGGUGAAAUGCAUAGAUAUCACGCAGAACUCCGAUUGCGAAGGCAGCAUACC
RNAcentral lists this ribosomal RNA (395 nucleotides) under uncultured bacterium. RNAcentral's name for it is "partial 16S ribosomal RNA". It matches the Rfam family "Bacterial small subunit ribosomal RNA", at positions 338 to 730 of the family's 1533-position model. The record is from RNAcentral.